RNAcentral lists this non-coding RNA (31 nucleotides) under Homo sapiens (human). The record is from RNAcentral. Lineage: Eukaryota; Metazoa; Chordata; Mammalia; Primates; Hominidae.
UAGAAAGAGGAAGACAGAGCUCUUACCAGGG